This 890-nucleotide ribosomal RNA is filed under the name uncultured bacterium. Its description in RNAcentral is "bacterial SSU rRNA". It matches the Rfam family "Bacterial small subunit ribosomal RNA", at positions 29 to 917 of the family's 1533-position model. The record is from RNAcentral.
AUGAACGCUGGCGGCGUGCCUAAUACAUGCAAGUCGAACGAAUCUCUUUUAGAGAUGAGUGGCGAACGGGUGAGUAAUACAUAGGUAACCUGCCCCUGUGCGGGGGAUAACAGGAGGAAACUCCUGCUAAUACCGCAUAGCCAUGAGCACCGCAUGGAGCUCAUGCCAAAUAUCCUUUAUGGGAUAGCGCAGGGAUGGACCUAUGGCGCAUUAGCUGGUUGGCGGGGCAACGGCCCACCAAGGCAACGAUGCGUAGCCGGCCUGAGAGGGCGGACGGCCACAUUGGGACUGAGACACGGCCCAGACUCCUACGGGAGGCAGCAGUAGGGAAUUUUCGGCAAUGGGGGAAACCCUGACCGAGCAACGCCGCGUGAGCGAAGAAGGCCUUCGGGUCGUAAAGCUCUGUUGUAAAGGAAGAACGGCGCAUACAGGAAAUGGUAUGCGAGUGACGGUACUUUACCAGAAAGCCACGGCUAACUACGUGCCAGCAGCCGCGGUAAUACGUAGGUGGCGAGCGUUAUCCGGAAUCAUUGGGCGUAAAGAGGGAGCAGGCGGCCGCAAGGGUCUGUGGUGAAAGACCGAAGCUAAACUUCGGUAAGCCAUGGAAACCGGGCGGCUAGAGUGCGGAAGAGGAUCGUGGAAUUCCAUGUGUAGCGGUGAAAUGCGUAGAUAUAUGGAGGAACACCAGUGGCGAAGGCGACGGUCUGGGCCGCAACUGACGCUCAUUCCCGAAAGCGUGGGGAGCAAAUAGGAUUAGAUACCCUAGUAGUCCACGCCGUAAACGAUGGUCACUAAGUGUCGGGGGUCAAACCCCGGUGCUGCAGUCAACGCAAUAAGUGACCCGCCUGAGUAGUACGUUCGCAAGAAUGAAACUCAAAGGAAUUGACGGA